This 460-nucleotide ribosomal RNA is filed under the name uncultured bacterium. RNAcentral's name for it is "partial 16S ribosomal RNA". It matches the Rfam family "Bacterial small subunit ribosomal RNA", at positions 338 to 795 of the family's 1533-position model. The record is from RNAcentral.
CCUACGGGUGGCAGCAGUGAGGAAUAUUGGUCAAUGGGCGCAAGCCUGAACCAGCCAAGUAGCGUGAAGGAUGACGGCCCUACGGGUUGUAAACUUCUUUUAUAAGGGAAUAAAGGGAGAUACGUGUAUCUUUUUGAAUGUACCGUAUGAAUAAGGAUCGGCUAACUCCGUGCCAGCAGCCGCGGUAAUACGGAGGAUCCGAGCGUUAUCCGGAUUUAUUGGGUUUAAAGGGAGCGUAGGUGGGUUGUUAAGUGAGUUGUGAAAUUGUGCGGCUCAACCUUGGAAUUGCAAUUGAUACUGGUAGGCUUGAGUAUAGUUGAGGUAGGCGGAAUGCGUGGUGUAGCGGUGAAAUGCUUAGAGAUCACGCAGAACUCCGAUUGCGAAGGCAGCUUACUAAGCUGCCACUGACAUUGAUGCUCGAAAGCGUGGGUAGCAAACAGGAUUAGAUACCCGGGUAGUC